Molecule: transfer RNA, 72 nt
Filed under: Myctophum punctatum (spotted lanternfish)
Lineage: Eukaryota; Metazoa; Chordata; Actinopteri; Myctophiformes; Myctophidae
Description: tRNA-Thr
Rfam family: tRNA
About the family: Transfer RNA (tRNA) molecules are approximately 80 nucleotides in length. Their secondary structure includes four short double-helical elements and three loops (D, anti-codon, and T loops).
Source: RNAcentral
GCUCUCGUAGCUCAAUAUAAGAGCGUCGGUCUUGUAAGCCGAAGGUCGGAAGUUCAAGUCUUCCCGAUCGCA